RNAcentral lists this transfer RNA (67 nucleotides) under Marmota monax (woodchuck). RNAcentral describes it as "tRNA.Ala". The record is from RNAcentral. Lineage: Eukaryota; Metazoa; Chordata; Mammalia; Rodentia; Sciuridae.
GGAUUGUGGCUCAGCGGUAGAGCGCUUGCCUAGCAUGGGUGUGACCUGGGUUCGAUUCUCAGCACCA